CGGAAGUUGCCGCCCCCUUUCCAUGGCAACACCCUGAUGGCCGAAAGUUACUACCCUUAUUCCAGAAAUCUCUGCAUAAUCUGUCGGUUUGCAUAUAAUUAACAGUGGCUAUAAAUGUGAGUGCAGCCCUGUCCUGUCCUCAGCUGCUGCCCUGGGCGCACUGCCUUGCGGGUCACUGUGGCUGCUCCUGUGCUUCAGCGGGACUAGAAGCUGCCGCCCACGGGCAGCGGGGAAGAAAUCUGGGCAAAGCCAUGAGCCCUCCGAGGCUGAGCUCCAGUUUAGGGGCUCACCUGCCUUGCAUCGUUCCGAGUCCUGUACUGGACUGCAUCAGGCCGCGUCUCCUCAGGGUGAGUACUUGUGGCCUCAGGGUAAAGGGCUUUUCUCAGGACGCGAGGCCAUUGCUGGGAGAGGCAGAUUAGGCUGGGGAUCCGGACUCCGUUCCUAGCAUCUGCUACCUCAGGACGGAGACGAACAUGCUAUAAAAUGUUUAACCGUGUGAUAACAACUCUCCUAGAAAGGAAAGGGGAUGCCCCUGAGGAGACUCGGUGCUCCCCACAGAACUCCCCAGCGAUCCCAGAUGGGAGAAGCUGAGCUGCGCGGGCGCUGCCCUCACUCCGGGGGUGAAACGUGGCUGUGAUUUCCACAGGUGACAGAAACCAGGCAGUGAUUCAACUCGUAUUUGACUUUCACAUUCUCCAGCAAUGUUCUUCAAUCUGGGAAGGGUAGAAAAUUAAAGAAAGGUAAGGAGAGUUAAAAAAUGAGAUCAUUUCAAAGUAGAUGCAGUCUUGAAGCCCAAAUGAAUUACGAGAUCCAGUUUGAAAGCUGCUGCAGAAGUGAUUUCAGAAUCGCGCGGUGGCUCCGGAAUGGGGAACUGCUGCUGAAAGAGGUCGGAAAGGGUGGGGACUGAAUUUCGGGUAAGAGGACGCCAGUGGUUCUGGAGCACGCGGCCUUCAGCCAUGCCUGCGUUCACAAGUACAUUAUUUCAGACUCACUCCAAGUUUACAUCUCUAAGCCCAUCCAAGCCAUGGCAGCGCGAACCUCUCCCUCCCCCAGCUCAAGGCCUCUGGGCCCCCAGGACAGAGGACAGAAGAGCCAGCCCCUCCUGGCUCAGGGUUGCCGGGACCCCGUGAUGGCUGCUGUGCCUCUCCUGAGGUGCCAGGUGAGAGCUGAGACUUCUGCUCCCGCUGCACCAGCUCCGUUUGUCUCCAGGCGCAGUGUCAGUCUCGUUCUUUAAGCGCUUCUGAGGUCCCAUCAGCACAGGUCUCGUCUUACCUGGAAAGGCUUGUUGCCUUGUGCCUGGGACUUUUUAUUCUGUGCUUUUCUUCUGGAUAUUAAAUUUCAUAUCCACGCUUGCUUGUCACUCAGA
Homo sapiens (human) is the source of this 1366-nucleotide long non-coding RNA. Ensembl annotates it as PARD6G antisense RNA 1. Its record names the gene PARD6G-AS1. NCBI's taxonomy places the organism in Eukaryota, Metazoa, Chordata, Mammalia, Primates, Hominidae. The record is from Ensembl.